Molecule: long non-coding RNA, 555 nt
Organism: Astyanax mexicanus (Mexican tetra)
Lineage: Eukaryota; Metazoa; Chordata; Actinopteri; Characiformes; Acestrorhamphidae
Exons: 2
Source: RefSeq, a predicted model, not a curated record
CUAACACAUUCUCCUGCUGGGAGAAUUAAAGAAAGAAAACUCCAUCCUCACCAAGAAGAUGAUCAGAGGCGGCGCCGAUGCGGGCUUCAUCUUUACGCUCUUCCAGAGGUGAGCAACGAGGACACUAGGCGAAAAUUCGGACGCCACAAAACCUCGCAGUGUUAUAAUCCAGUUUGCCCUUCGAGCAGCAACGCUCUGCUUAAAGACAGAAAGAUCAGUUUCAGCGAAGACCUGACCUCCAACAGACGAGUACCUCCAACAGCUGUAAGACCUCCUCCAUCGUGAUCUGCAGGACACAGGCACUGUGUUUACCAGCAGCACUAAGAGGUGCUGAAUACAUAACAUCAUAUAUGUUUAUAUCAUAUAUAGUUUUCUUUCCAUAUGUUUACUCUUUUUUGCAAUUAAGAACUUGCUUGCAUACUCCUGGUUAUAUUUUGAGUCCCCAUCAGAGCACAACGAUAAUAAUAUCGCUAAUGUUUAUGAAAUUUAAGGAUAUCAAACAUUGCUUGGCUGGAUUUUUUAUGAUGCAAUAUUAUAUUUUAUUUUUGUUUGGUA